CCAUCCAUGCGCCUAGUUGAUCAUAUUGUUCACUCUGGGAACCCGAUGUUGAUCCUUCGCUGAUGUCUGCACCAGAACCUGUAAUGCCUGAUACACGAGAUGCAGAUUUCUCCGUAGCUUCCUGUGGUGAUUCUUUGACAAGAGAUUGGACCCAAGAUAGAUCAGGUUCUUCUCCAUUGUUGGCAAGCUCAAAUGAUGAUGAUCUCCUUAGCCUACCAAACUCCUCAUUACGGACAGCCCAGUCUGGCUCUCCCGAGGCUAUACCCCAGUUCGGCCAAGUAUCUGACGGAGAGCCAGCAAUGGCAGAGGCAGCACUUGAGCCAAGAUCACGAGAGCUGAGACUCCUGAAUUGAUGUUGCUUGUCGCAUGGUGUCCGAGGAAGGACCAAACCACAAGGGUUUAUUGUACACAGUCUUACCAAGCAUUUCUGCAAGAGGCUGUUUUGGUGUAUGGAUCGAAAAAAUCAACACAUUUAUCGAUAUUCAGAUGAAAUAAUAAUCAUGUUAAUACAUAAUUGUCACAAAAAAUGACUUCUUUCAGUACACUGAUCACCAAAGAAACAUAGGGUAAAAUUUUCAUAUGAGUAAGAGUCUACAUACAGUAAUGUUGGAGAAAAACUCGGCGCAAACCGGUUUUUCUCUCAUACCUGGCUUUAAAUAAAAUUAGAGAAAUAAUUUCCUUCAAAACUUGGACCUUCCGCACUUUUGCCUUGUUCCCAAGCCAACAUGAAGUGAAUACCAAGAAUCAAAAAUCCAACGUCUAGGAUCGGGUAAAAUGAAAAAUAAGGAUGUUUUUUACCGAGCUAUUAGCUGAUCAAGCUUCAUUUGCUCCAUCCAUGCGCCUAGUUGAUCAUAUUGUUCACUCUGGGAACCCGAUGUUGAUCCUUCGCUGAUGUCUGCACCAGAACCUGUAAUGCCUGAUACACGAGAUGCAGAUUUCUCCGUAGCUUCCUGUGGUGAUUCUUUGACAAGAGAUUGGACCCAAGAUAGAUCAGGUUCUUCUCCAUUGUUGGCAAGCUCAAAUGAUGAUGAUCUCCUUAGCCUACCAAACUCCUCAUUACGGACAGCCCAGUCUGGCUCUCCCGAGGCUAUACCCCAGUUCGGCCAAGUAUCUGACGGAGAGCCAGCAAUGGCAGAGGCAGCAC
RNAcentral lists this long non-coding RNA (1144 nucleotides) under Capsicum annuum. RNAcentral's name for it is "long non-coding RNA (CANN_LNC016628)". Lineage: Eukaryota; Viridiplantae; Streptophyta; Magnoliopsida; Solanales; Solanaceae. The record is from RNAcentral.